Molecule: transfer RNA, 72 nt
Filed under: Candidatus Vidania fulgoroideorum
Lineage: Bacteria; Pseudomonadati; Pseudomonadota; Betaproteobacteria
Description: tRNA-Val
Rfam family: tRNA
About the family: Transfer RNA (tRNA) molecules are approximately 80 nucleotides in length.
Source: RNAcentral
AGAACUAUAGUUUAAUGGUAAAACAUCACUUUAACAUAGUGAAGACUAACGGUUCAAUUCCGUUUGGUUCUU